AAUGAUGGCCAGGCUGUCUCCACCCGAGACUCAGUGAAAUUGAACUCGCUGUGAAGAUGCAGUGUACCCGCGGCAAGACGGAAAGACCCCGUGAACCUUUACUAUAGCUUGACACUGAACAUUGAGCCUUGAUGUGUAGGAUAGGUGGGAGGCUUUGAAGCGUGGACGCCAGUCUGCGUGGAGCCGACCUUGAAAUACCACCCUUUAAUGUUUGAUGUUCUAACGUGGACCCGUGAUCCGGGUUGCGGACAGUGUCUGGUGGGUAGUUUGACUGGGGCGGUCUCCUCCUAAAGAGUAACGGAGGAGCACGAAGGUUGGCUAAUCCUGGUCGGACAUCAGGAGGUUAGUGCAAUGGCAUAAGCCAGCUUGACUGCGAGCGUGACGGCGCGAGCAGGUGCGAAAGCAGGUCAUAGUGAUCCGGUGGUUCUGAAUGGAAGGGCCAUCGCUCAACGGAUAAAAGGUACUCCGGGGAUAACAGGCUGAUACCGCCCAAGAGUUCAUAUCGACGGCGGUGUUUGGCACCUCGAUGUCGGCUCAUCACAUCCUGGGGCUGAAGUAGGUCCCAAGGGUAUGGCUGUUCGCCAUUUAAAGUGGUACGCGAGCUGGGUUUAGAACGUCGUGAGACAGUUCGGUCCCUAUCUGCCGUGGGCGCUGGAGAACUGAGGGGGGCUGCUCCUAGUACGAGAGGACCGGAGUGGACGCAUCACUGGUGUUCGGGUUGUCAUGCCAAUGGCACUGCCCGGUAGCUAAAUGCGGAAGAGAUAAGUGCUGAAAGCAUCUAAGCACGAAACUUGCCCCGAGAUGAGUUCUCCCUGAGACUUAGAGUCUCCUGAAGGAACGUUGAAGACGACGACGUUGAUAGGCCGGGUGUGUAAGCGCAGCGAUGCGUUGAGCUAACCGGUACUAAUGAACCGUGAGG
This 919-nucleotide ribosomal RNA is filed under the name Salmonella enterica. Its description in RNAcentral is "partial 23S ribosomal RNA". It matches the Rfam family "Bacterial large subunit ribosomal RNA", at positions 2003 to 2916 of the family's 2925-position model. The record is from RNAcentral. Lineage: Bacteria; Pseudomonadati; Pseudomonadota; Gammaproteobacteria; Enterobacterales; Enterobacteriaceae.